This 254-nucleotide ribosomal RNA is filed under the name uncultured bacterium. RNAcentral describes it as "partial 16S ribosomal RNA". It matches the Rfam family "Bacterial small subunit ribosomal RNA", at positions 524 to 776 of the family's 1533-position model. The record is from RNAcentral.
UACGGGGGGGGCAAGCGUUGUUCGGAAUUACUGGGCGUAAAGGGCGCGUAGGCGGCCAGACAAAGUCGAGCGUUAAAUUCCAGGGCUUAACCCUGGGCUGUUGCUCGAUACUAGUCGGCUAGAGUGUGGAAGAGGGUGCUGGAAUUCCUGGUGUAGCGGUGAAAUGCGCAGAUAUCAGGAAGAACACCAAUGGCGAAAGCAGCUUUCUGGGACGGUACUGACGCUGAGACGCGAAAGCAUGGGGAGCGAACAGG